ACUACAAAGGAGAGUUAGUUUUCUACAUUGUCACCUGCAGGUCCUGGCUCCAUACUGUUAACUGCUUAAAGCAGUGGUAGAUUGCCUUCAGUUCUUCAUGAUGUGACUGUCAGGCAAGGAGUGCUUGUCUGACUGCUGCUCCCAUUUACUCAAAAGGAAGAUCUGGUAUCAACACUAAGCACUAGCUUUGGGAGUCCUGCAGUCUUGGAUCAGGAUGGGGAGAUAAGAUUGUGUCUUUCAGGAGGGACCAUCUCAGUGCAGUCUCUAUUCUCAGGCACUGCUUUCCAUCCCACCCGCAGCUCCUGUACCAGAC
Molecule: long non-coding RNA, 313 nt
Filed under: Coturnix japonica (Japanese quail)
Lineage: Eukaryota; Metazoa; Chordata; Aves; Galliformes; Phasianidae
Description: lncRNA (ENSCJPG00005010606.1)
Source: RNAcentral